GAACGCUAGCGGCAGGCUUAACACAUGCAAGUCGAGGGGCAGCAUGAUGAAACUUUCGGGUUUCAUUGAUGGCGACCGGCGCAAGGGUGCGUAACGCGUGAGCAACUUGCCCUUAUCAGGGGGAUAACCGGUGGAAACGCCGACUAAUACCCCAUAGUAUCACUUCAAGGCAUCUUUUAGUGAUUAAAGAAUUUCGGAAACGGAUAGGCUCGCGUGACAUUAGCUGGAUGGCGGGGUAACGGCCCACCAUGGCUACGAUGUCUAGGGGUUCUGAGAGGAAGGUCCCCCACACUGGAACUGAGACACGGUCCAGACUCCUACGGGAGGCAGCAGUGAGGAAUAUUGGUCAAUGGUCUGACGACUGAACCAGCCAUGCCGCGUGAAGGUCACGGCCCUAUGGGUCUUAAACUUCUUUUGUAAGGGAGCAAUAAGUCUCACGUGUGGGAUGAUGAGAGUACCUUACGAAUAAGCAUCGGCUAACUCCGUG
This 487-nucleotide ribosomal RNA is filed under the name uncultured bacterium. Its description in RNAcentral is "bacterial SSU rRNA". It matches the Rfam family "Bacterial small subunit ribosomal RNA", at positions 31 to 507 of the family's 1533-position model. The record is from RNAcentral.